GCUCCGUUGGUGUAGCCCGGCCAAUCAUUCGGGCCUUUCGAGCCUGUGACCUGGGUUCAAAUCCCAGACGGAGCA
Molecule: transfer RNA, 75 nt
Filed under: Halorussus gelatinilyticus
Lineage: Archaea; Methanobacteriati; Methanobacteriota; Halobacteria; Halobacteriales; Haladaptataceae
Rfam family: tRNA
About the family: Transfer RNA (tRNA) molecules are approximately 80 nucleotides in length. Their secondary structure includes four short double-helical elements and three loops (D, anti-codon, and T loops).
Source: Rfam by way of RNAcentral